AGGGAAAGUCACAAAGCAAUAUGGAGUCAAGCCUAUGAUUUAAAUGGACAGCCAGAAAUUUGGAAGGAACAAGAUUUAACAUUUGAUGGGGAAGACAUUUAGAGACAGGGUAGACAAAGAUGAACAAAAUACAAAUUUGCCCUCUCCAAUGCAAGGCACCAUCACUAAUAAAUAUCUUUGCUGAAAAAUAAAUGCAGAAUGGGAGACAGGAAAAGAAAAUGUGCAGGGUCCCCAGUGGAGGAGUUAGAAAAAGGACUGAAGAAGCUGAAGGGGUUUGCAACCCUAUAGGAAGAACCACAAUAUGAACCAACCAGAUCCUCCAGAGCUCCCAGGGACUAAGCCAUCAACAAAGAAAUUUCUAUCCUACUGGAUAAUGUAUGUAGGACUCACAUGCCAUGUAAGAAUAACUUCCUUUAAAUUUCAAGGAGAGAAUUUGCUCUGGUAAAGAAAUUAUACUUGUAACAUUGUAGCAAAGAUCUACAUAUAUGCCUACAUGACUGAAAAUUCUUCCCUACGUUCUCAGGAUUUCUAGUUAUCCCCUAGGGGAGACAUAUAUAAGGUGACAGGGAAGUUAUAAUGAUACUUCUGAAACAAUUUGUGAUAGUGGUAACUUUCAGAGGACUGCGAAGACAGUAAAUGAAUGAAGUUAUGAUUUUGUGACUCAGGAAUGAAGUUUCUCAAGGUUCUGGAAAGCCACAAAGAUGUCUGGAAUCUCUAGCAACUGCAUCAUCUUAUAAUUACUCCUGGUACAAGAUUAUAUCCAUUGAUAUCAUAGAAAUAUUUAUAUAGAACUGAAAC
This 798-nucleotide long non-coding RNA is filed under the name Mus caroli (Ryukyu mouse). RNAcentral's name for it is "lncRNA (MGP_CAROLIEiJ_G0005074.1)". The record is from RNAcentral. Lineage: Eukaryota; Metazoa; Chordata; Mammalia; Rodentia; Muridae.